This 653-nucleotide long non-coding RNA is filed under the name Elaeis guineensis (African oil palm). Its description in RNAcentral is "long non-coding RNA (EGUI_LNC069857)". Lineage: Eukaryota; Viridiplantae; Streptophyta; Magnoliopsida; Arecales; Arecaceae. The record is from RNAcentral.
AGACCACUAUGGUGACUUAUAAGUAACUCACUGUACUUUAGUAUCAGACCAUCUGAAUUUUUAAUUCAGUGAUGAAAGGAUACUGGGUGCAGUCAAGUACUUAUCAAGUCGGUGUGUGAAUCAAGAUGAAAUUAAUCCCUCUGAAUUAGUAGGAGAUAUGCAUCAGUAUAUUUUAAUUUAGUAAAAUCUUGGUCAGAAUAAUCUAUGAGAUAAAUUUGAAAAUGCUGAAUAUAAUGUGAUCGACUAAAUUAGAGCUGACAGUUAAAUCCUAGGUCACUUUGAGCAUUAGGGUCAAAAAGAUGAAUUAUACGAUAACUAUACGCCAGUAGAUUCUAGAAUAUUACUUUACAAUACUUCGACCUAUCCGAUCGUCUGGUCAUCAUUGCUAGAUGGUUACAUCAAUUGGUAUAGAAAGUUAUUCUUAUACUAUCAGUUUAGAUUCAAACCUAGAGGUCAUACGCAUUAGAAGUUUAGUCAGAUCUAAUGGCUGAAGAGUUCAAUUGGAUUGUGACUCUGGUGAGGAGUCCUAUUGGGAUUGGGACUUUGGAAGAGAAUCCCAUUGGGACUAGGACUAUACUAUUAAUAAAUAAUUAAUUAGUAAUUGACUUAAUUUGAUUGAGUAAAGAGCUUUGGAUCAAGUCUAAUUGAAUUAA